UACAUUUUAGUGUAAGGUGCACCAAAAUUUUUGAUAUUUUAAGAUUACAGUUUGAUUCUGUUAAAUGUAU
This 70-nucleotide transfer RNA is filed under the name Theopropus elegans. RNAcentral describes it as "tRNA-Gln". The record is from RNAcentral. Lineage: Eukaryota; Metazoa; Arthropoda; Insecta; Mantodea; Hymenopodidae.